Arachis ipaensis is the source of this 3072-nucleotide non-coding RNA. The record is from RefSeq and is a predicted model, not a curated record. Lineage: Eukaryota; Viridiplantae; Streptophyta; Magnoliopsida; Fabales; Fabaceae.
AAUACUUAAAAAUUCUUUUUUAAAAAAUUUAUCCAAAUAUAAAAGAUACUGUUAAAAAAAGAUCUGUUUUAAAAACAUGAAAAAAUUAAGUAGCCAAUCCAAACUAACCCUAAUUUGUGUGGUCGCUCAGAGAUUUUUGGUCCAAUCUCUUCAACUUUUUGCUUGGAGUUCAUCUGAGUGCAAUUCAAAUACUUGCAAUAAUUGAUUAUGCUGUAAUUUUGGCUCUGCUGUUUGUUAAUUCUCUUGAAAUUGAUGCAUAAAACUAGAAUGGUGUAGCUCUAUGAUUUGCUAGCUCAUUGAUAGAUUAACAUUGCGGUAAUUGGAGUCCUCUAUGUGCUGAUUAUUUUAUUUUUUGAUUAUUCUGUAAUUUGAUAUUUCCAGUAUACGAAAGAGGACUUUUGUUCAUAGCAUAGAGACAGUAGGGACACUUUUUUUUUUUCGUUUGUUUACCGCUUAAGUAAUCAAUUUUCUUAUUACCAUGAUAAGUCUGAUGGAUCAACUUGAAUUUAUGUGUUAUUUCACUUAUUUGAUUUGCUUGCUGGAGUAAUGGAGCUAUUAACUUGUAAUGCUUUUAUGGUUGGGUGUGAAGUUCAAAACAUGAUUGUAGUCCUGAAAUAGUUUUAAUUGUAAUGAAAGGAGCAUGAGCCUUGGUGCAAGAAAUAUAUGGAACUAUAUAAUGAACUUAGAGAAAACUGGGAGCGACUUUAUUAGGAAAGAAUCAGUUAAAAUGAAGGACAACAAUCUUAGGAGUCCCUCUGAAUAAUGGAUCGUGCAGAAAAUUACUAACCUCUUUCCUGAGUUUGAAGAGCAAGGUCAGUUGAUUCUGACUUCAAAUCUAUCCUUUCUUCCUAAACAUGUUAUUCUAUAUUCUCAAAUGCAGUGCUAUAAAUUUGAUAGGUCUACAUGAUCCUGAAACAAUUCUUGGGCCUUUGGCUAACAAAUUAAGGCCUACAAUCUGUUGCUUGAUAAUUUGCAGAAGAAACUUGAUGAGGUUUGCUAAAGUGGCACAAACACAACUUCUGUGGUCUUUUAUACAUAUAAUUUACUAUCUUAAUUGUUUUUUCCAUUUUUCCCUGGAAGUCUUUCUUAAACAUGCAGCUCUAUGAAAAACCCUUGGAAUUGUUUGAAGAUGAUCAAUCAACUUCUGUAAGUUCUGUUAUGUUUUUUAGAAUUUUAAUUUUUCUGUUUUUUCAUUGAUGAAAUGUGUAAAUUGACAUGUAAAUGAUGGCGGGUUGUUUUACAUAGGCAUUUACUAAGAACAAUAGCAGCUCCUGUGGUGGAUAUGCUUCUUCAUGAUCUGGUAAUUCUAUACAGUGAACUGUUUGUAAACGUAAUAUAUAUCUUGAGGGUUUAAUAUGGUCUAACGCAAUGGAUUCAUCAUCUGCAGGAUGAACACAACAAAUUAAAGAAUGGUGUUGCGGUUCAAGAGGCUCCAAGUUCUGAAUCUAUUUCACUUAGUCUUGGAGACAGAGUUGCAAUUUCCAAGAGUUUUUCUAGACCUCUUGCAAAUAAGGCUCUUGCUGUUGUAGAGGCAUUGGAGGGAAAGAAUGUUGAAGUAUUCAUGGACGCAUUUAGAGCAGUAACUGAAGAGAAGUAACGUGUCUAUUAUUUUGUGAAACUUCAGGAAUGAUUUGACCUCCAAUGCUUUUGUAGUGAUUCAAACCUUGCAAUGUGGUUUGAUCUUGAAUAUUUAUGCUUUCGUCCUGAAUAUGAAAAUUUUAGGCUUAUUUAGAUUGUAUCUAUGAUGGUAAUAUAGACAAAUUUUGGCACCUUUGACAGAACUGUAUUUCAUGCAAUCAUAUAAUAUUUCCUAUUGAGUAAUAACAUGUAGUGAAUCUUAUUACUUGAGGGAGAUUUUGUCCACUUAUACUUGUUUCCUAUUUCCAGGAAGUGGGUACUUCCUUCUCGUCGCCCAGAUGGAACUAAAAAUUACAAGAACAGAGCUCCUAGAGCACCUGUUAUGAAAGUGAGUUUCCAUUAAUAACUAGAAGAGUGAAAAGGUUUACAAUCCACUUUUCCGGAUACUGAUUGACUCAGAUUUGAUUAUUUCUUUACUAUUACUUUGCUCUUAUUAGUCCAGCUCAGCAUCCUUCCUUAAAAUUGAAAUUGAUGAACCUGCUGCACAAGCUAUCAGUGCUUUGCUAUUACUAUUACUAUUACUUUGUUCUUAUUAUUCUAAGAAUGAUUUUGUUUCAUUAUCAGUGCUUAUCUUGUUUAGGGUUGAGAUUAUCACUACUGUAGGAAGAAUCUGUUUUGAGGUAAGUUCCUUUACAUAGAAACUUCAACUUUGUUCUAAUAUGUCUAUUCAGGGUUUUUUUCUGAAAUAAAAUAAAAAAAAUUAUUAACGUACAUAUGUGUAUUUCUCGAGACGAUGAAAAUAGUUGUCAUUUUCGUCAACAAUGUUAAAGAAGUCAUGCUUGUUGUCUGUGUGUAUAUUUGUGUACUCCUAUGUACUCUUAGAUACGAUGAUAAUGGCUAAAAACUUUGAUUUCCGUGUAUUUUAGAAAAGAUUUAAAGAAAGUUCACCUAAAAAAUAGAGUUUGCCGGAGGUGCGACGAACUCGCCUUAAAUUAAAAAAAAAUCGUAUUUAAAAAAUUAAAGUUGAAAAAUAGGAUUUUGAAAAAUAAUAAAUAUUUUUAUUUUAUUUCAGUGAAAAAUCCUAUUACACGGGUGUUAAUACCAAUGUUUUAAAAAUUGGAAUAGUUCAACCGCAAACCGACAACAUUAAUAGUCUAAUCAGACAUAUAAAAUGGUUGUUUAAAAAACUGGUGAAAAACCAUUGAACCAGCAGAGAACCAGCCGGUCGGACUGAACCGGAACCCGCCCGGUUUACACAAAAACGGAAGCCCCUUCGUUUCUUUCUCCCUUCCAUUCAGAAAGAAAUCACACAAACCCAGCCAAAAAACCCUAGCACUGUAAGCCUACACCACCGCCGCAAGGAGUCGCACUCAAAGUUCACCAUCCGUCCGUCUAUCUAGCUUCCCUCGUGCUCCAAGUCUUCAACCCCUGUUUGCUGUCACCGAUCGCGGUUGCUUCCUCGAGCUCGGCGUCCGUCGUCUUUGUCUGCUCAGC